Malus domestica (apple) is the source of this 283-nucleotide non-coding RNA. Lineage: Eukaryota; Viridiplantae; Streptophyta; Magnoliopsida; Rosales; Rosaceae. The record is from RefSeq and is a predicted model, not a curated record.
UCUUUGGCUCAUAUAUUUAAAUGACACUAUUGCUUAGAAUGUGCGGCACUGUAUUUCUAAUUAUUAUUUUUAUGCUUGAAGCCGAUGAUGUUGGAACAAGUUUUGUCAGAUCAGGAUAGUGAGGAUGAGGUUGAUGAUGAUGUUGCUGAUCUUGAAGAUCGAAGGAUGCUUGAUGAUUUCGUUGAUGUGACAAAAGAUGAGAAGAAAAUAAUGCAUAUGUGGAACUCCUUCGUGAGGAAGCAACAGGUAUUGGCUGAUGAUCAUAUUCUUUGGGGGUGCGAGG